This 3050-nucleotide long non-coding RNA is filed under the name Hordeum vulgare. RNAcentral's name for it is "long non-coding RNA (HVUL_LNC015188)". Lineage: Eukaryota; Viridiplantae; Streptophyta; Magnoliopsida; Poales; Poaceae. The record is from RNAcentral.
GACGAGCCGCCCCAUUUAUAGCCUGCCUCUGUCCGUAAUGGCUCGUGUUGAGGAGCAAAAUGAAUCAGCCGCAGACCGUAGCAUCUAAUCCGACCACGUGAGCUCCUGCAAAUCCUUCUAGCUUACCGCAAUUUGUUGCCGGAGUUGGUCCCCCGCGGCACCCUCUCUCGCCGGCCUAUAAAAAGGCACCCUGAGCCAAUGUGUAGCCACCAAACGAACCACACCUCACCAUAACCUCGCCGAAACCCUCAGAAGGCCUCUGGAGGGCCUUCUUCCCCGCCUCCGGCCGCCCGAUUUGCUUCGGUCCUCGGCAAAAUUUGCCCAUGUGGAUGCAUCCCAGUGGCCCAGUUCUUGCCAGCAAGAUCCUCGAGCAGUAUCCCUUCUAACCCGCGCGAGGAUUCUCUGAGUGCAGGCCUCUCUAUCGAGAUCCCGCUGCACCCGAAAUGCUGCUCGCCGGAGUUUUGAGCUGUCAUCGAUGUGGUGGCCGCCGGCGAGUGCCUCCACCUCCAUCAGCUGCAGAACCUCCUUGUGAGUGCACCCGCAUGCCUCUUCCAGUGUGGUUCGUCGCAGGAUGCCGUCGACGGCACUACGAGCUUCAUCCGCCGCCGAGGUAGAUUCAAACCUGAGAGUGGAGGCCCACUGUCAUGAUUCGAAUCUUUGCGAACCAUUUUUCUGAAGUGCAUUUUCCAGAGUACGUUUCCGGUUUGGUUACUUUCAACGGAGCGCUUUGCUUCUUUCCAGUCACCCCCGUGGGAUAUUUCUGUUUUAUUACAAAUCAGUCCCUGAGUUCAUUUUCUUUAUAACUUUUAAACUACACGGUCUUUUCUAGUGAUUUUUUUGCGAAAUCUUUCUAUUGUUGUCUAGUUUACUUUCAUAUAUAUCCAAAAAUAUUUUAAGACAAGAUUUUGGACUGUGAUAUUUAUGUUAGAACCGACGAGUGUAACAUAGAUACCGACGAGGGAAGCAUCGACGUUAACUUCAUCGAGCUCGAUCCCAGCUUCGUCGAACUAGGCAAGCUGUCUACGCAAUUGAUGUGAUUGUUUGUUGUUAGUAUUGUUAGUGUUUGCUGCAUAUGAAUACUUGCAUAAGAUAAACUCCAUCAUAAUAACACCUGCUUACGAGAUGAAUUAUUUCUUAACAAGGUUGAUCAUCAAGGUGAUGAUGAGAGGCCUUGGACAACUUAGUCACAUGUGACGUGAUAGGUUGUGGCCUGAGCAUGCCAGUGGCAUGAUACCGUGUGGAUAAGUUUUACAACUCUAGUGUCGGCAUAGAUCGAGUCUUGUCAGUACGUCACCUUACUUUCCGUGCUACCACAUGUCUUUCAGAAGGGAAUAUGGUGUAGUAUGUCAUAAACCUAUUAUCAGAUACACACCAACUAGAGGGGCCAGGAUGAAGGUCUCCAUGGCCUUGGCAUAAAGCCGAUCAUCUGGUCAGGAGGCAUGGGUGUUUCCGGUGUGGGAUUGAGAGGGAGGGCACUCCCUUGUAGCGCACGGUAGAAAUGUGAUCCAAUUCUAUUCGAGGGCGUUGGCUUCCCCGUCUUAGAGUUUUUCCCCUGAGAGAGUUACUCGGGUGAUGCCGGGCCUCGCUGGGUAAAAAUGGGUGUGUGCUGGUUCAGAGUGUUUACUUCUGAAAUACCGUACGCGGGAUUAGUCUUAGUGACUAUGGAAACCCGUUGGUUGUGGGUAAAUAGUACACCCUUUGCAGAGUCAAAACUAUUCGAGUAGCCAUGUCCAUGGUCAAGGACGACUCGUUGACACGUCAAGUAUCGGUCUAAGUGUCAGUCUGUGGAGAAUGGGUUUGUUUAUGAAAGUGCUAAUGCUGACAUUCGACUAUGACGAUGGAACUAACUUGAUGAAACUUCGUUAUUUUAAAUAUCUCGAAGGUUGGUUGUACCACCCGGAUAUUAAUUUACUUUUAUGCCAUUUCUGUGGUGUCGCUAAGACAGCCGACUGAGGUGAGUAUUUACUUUUAUGCUCUUUCUAUGGUAUUGCUAAGACACCCGACUAAGGCGAGCAUUUACUUUUAUGCCCUUUCUGUGGUGUCUCUAAGACGCCCAACUGAAGCGAGUAUGUACUUUUAUGCCCCUUGUGUUGCUUCGCUGAGACGCACGACUGAGGCGAGUAUUUACUUUUAUGCCCUUUCUGUGGUGUCGCUAAGACGCCCGACUGUGGCUUGUUGUUUAUUAUGCCUUGUAUGUGGUGUCACUUGGACGUCCGAUGGUGGUUAUUUAUUUUACUUGUUAACCUUUAGAGGCGUCGCUUCAGACACCCGAUUGGUGUAUUUUUAUUUUUGUUUGGAUAUUUUGGGAGGACUACCGCCCAACUUACCUACUCUAAUUAAUUGCUAUUAUUUUUUUACCAUGAUAAUUGUGAUAAUUAACCAUGCAUAUGAAAUUGUUGCAUUCAUCUUAUCUUUUGUGGAAAUUGUCUUGCCAGUACUUUCAAAGUACUCACUGGCUUGUUGAUGUGCCAAAUAUAGGUGAAGGAGACCUCAUGGAUGAAGAGUAUGAUAGCGAGUCCAAUGCCUAGAGGAGUCCCGGUCAGUCUUGUGAUCUUGGAGUCUGCCGUUGUAUUAUUUCACCACUUCCGCCACCACAAAUAAAUAGUCAAGCCUCACUCCCAUGCUUGCCAUGUAGUAGUACUUAAGCCGUGUCACUUCGCUCUGAUGUGGCAUGCCUACAUUUUAUGCGAGCAGUAGAGCUACCCAUGACCAUUGUGAUAUAUCCGCCCUUAUAUUAAGUAUGGGUGCGUUGUAAUAAACCAUAGAGCGACCUCUGCUCUUCCAUGUUUAAUAUUAAGUACUACUGGUUUUCUAUAUCAAGAUUGGUCUAUAAGUGUGAAUGAUUUUCUACACUGGUGACAUUCAUGGCUGAUUUCCAAUAAGUUUAUUUAUUUGGAAACCGGUCCUGACACCUUAGCACCCUCAGUCUAGCGGUCAAGUUGAGUUGAGUAACCGAGAAAUAAAAUUAUUCUUGCAAAGGACUAUUAAUAGAUCUAGAAAGAACUGGUCUAAUAAACUUGAUGAUGCUUGCUACUUGUGAGUUGCGUUGG